Cimex lectularius (bed bug) is the source of this 1236-nucleotide long non-coding RNA. RefSeq lists it as uncharacterized. Lineage: Eukaryota; Metazoa; Arthropoda; Insecta; Hemiptera; Cimicidae. The record is from RefSeq and is a predicted model, not a curated record. The transcript has 2 exons.
UAGCUUUGAGAAACCUAGCCACACUUUCAGCACUCAGGCCUUUAGUGCUCAUUGGAAUAAGGUCCCCGCAAUCCAAUGUCGACCUACAAAUGAAGUUUUUUACGGACAGGAGCAUUUUUCUUCAACAUGGAACUAACAGUCAUGAUUUUCUUCUCAUAACGUAAAUCUGAAAGGUCACUUGUUACAUCCGACAUCGGGCUGAAAAUGUAUACACAUUGCAUUGUGUUAAAAAGAAUUAUGAUGGAAAAAUAGUGAGAUCUCUCUUUCUAGACUGUAGGGUGAUGAACCUGUACCAAUCAUACUGUCUGUCUUAUUUAUCUGACAACUGUCCCGAUACUGAAGAAAAUGUUGACAGACAACACAAUUAGGCUAGGAAGACUAGAUGGUCAGUGAUUCAAAAUUACUAAAUUUGAAUUGUUACAUAAAAAAAGUAACUGGUUUACAAAUUAUCCUAACAGUCAAAAUUUGUUAAAGAUAUAUUUUUAACCAUUCAAAAUUCAACUUUAAAGGUGGGGGGGGCAGAAUUCAUCACUAAUGUCCUAGCUUCGAAUCUAAGUAGCUCUGAAUUUGAUUGUAAACUACUUCAUACUUAAUCUCAAAAUACUAUUUUUAUAUUUGCUUAUGUGUUUCAUCCUGACAUCUUCAGGGUUGCUAAGAACGGCAUUCAUACUCCAAAAUUACAAUUAAGUUCAGAACUUAUUAGAAACAUGUUUUUCUCAAGGGAAGUAUGUGGCCUAUUUGCCAAGAGAGAAUUUUUUGUGUCAGAGCCUGUGCUCCCCCCCCUUUGGUUUUUGAAUGCAUUGUGCACAAGAGAAAACUUGGUCCAGAGCUUUCUCUAUAAAACUGAGUGUUAAUGUAAGAGAGUUGGCCAAAAAAUAAGAUAACUUAUGUACAGGAAUUAUUGUAAAUAAACUUGUAGGGUAGUACACUUUUUUUCUGCGUGUUACCUCUUGUACCCACAUGAUGAUGAUGUCAACUCUCUCCCUCUUGGCUUUACAACAUUUUCAUAAUCCUAUAAUGAUAAAUAUACAUUACUCAUUCAAUUUUAACACAAUACACUGGUAGAUAUGGUAUUAAUAGAUUUAAUUUUAUAUUAAAACACGAUCCGAAAACACACACUGAACAUGGUCACCAAUACAUUAAACAAAGAGAAGCAGAGAAAUAUUUGUUGCAUAUAUAAGCACAUGGAUUAAAUAGUUUGGUUCAUUAAAUAAUAAAGAAUCUACAUCAAAGUGA